This 216-nucleotide ribosomal RNA is filed under the name Triticum aestivum (bread wheat). Its description in RNAcentral is "partial small subunit ribosomal RNA". Lineage: Eukaryota; Viridiplantae; Streptophyta; Magnoliopsida; Poales; Poaceae. The record is from RNAcentral.
AUGUUACUGCAAGGUUAUGAACCAAGUUUAGAGCCUUACAUGUUGAUGAUUCUUAAGGCCCAUCAAGAUAAUAGGCUGACUGGCAUAAGAACUAGAUGUAAGAUUCAUGUUCCGAAAGGCCAUGUUCUUAUUGGUUGUUUGGACGAAACAGGCGAAUUAAAAUAUGGUCAAGUGUACAUCAGAAUUACAAAAAAACAGCAAAGAGCAGAAGGAUAA